UCAUUUAUCAAGGUUACUCUUUUAAGUGUAUAAAUGUAUAUUUUCAUCCUUAUCUAUAAGGAUUACUAUUUUAAAUCUCCAUACAGAACUAAAUAACAUUUACUUAUUCACAACUUUAAAUUAUUUUAUUACAAAUACAUACUUCUUUAUUCACAGCUUUGUAACUUAUUUUUCCUUUAUAAUCAUUCAUCAUUGAAUCAAAGAUAAUCUUUUAUCUUGUAACAUUUUUUUUUAGCAGAGGCCCAGUAGACGAAACAAAACACUUAGGAAAUAUGGAACUGAUAUAACAUCUGAUGGCACCGUCCCUUCUGCGGGAAUAGGUGCAUUACUCUCUACUUCAUCUGUACUAGCUCGUUCAGGAUCCAUAACUAUAAAAGAAAACAUUUUAAAAUCGUCAGGAGUCGUCACACUAUCAAAUAUAUAAGUAUGGCAUGUAUAGGUAGACUCUUAUUAUUACUGAGUAUUUCCGAGAACCGACUAAACCUGCUCUGAUACCAAUAAAAUGUAACACCCCUUACCCGAGACCGUUUCCGGAGUCGAGCACGAGGCAUUACUUAGCUUAUCUUACCAAUUCGGAGCAUAAAAACUAGGUUUGAAAAUUUAUUUCAUUAUUCGCAGCAAAUCUGUCUAAUCGCGCAGCAGUUACUAAAUUAAUUAUAACUUGAGCUACAGAACUCGAAAUUUAAUCCCGUAAAAUUUCCCUGAAACUAGACUCAUAUAUCUACUCACCAUAAAAUUUUUAUAAUUUUUGGUUCAGCAAAUUAGUACAGUUUAUUAGUUAAAGUCUCCCCUGUGUCACCACCAGACUGCCCUGACCUCUAGUCACUAAAAAUAAGUUUUCUCACUAUAGGAUUUUCAUAUGAAGUUCUUACUUGUUUCUAUAGAAAAUAGACUCAUUAAGGAAUCUAAGCAUGUAAAUUUCAACUCAUAACCAUUUUUUUACAAUUUGUAAUUAUUUUCUAAACUCAGAACAGGGGACUCCAAAAACAGUUCUGACCCUAUCUUACAAAAAUUCACAUAUCUUAAAAUAUAAAUUUCUUUUUUCUACACCGUUAUUUUUCCAUGAAAAUAGACUCAACAAGCUUUAAUUCCAUAUAUCAUUCACCCUCUAAUUCAUUUUAUACUAUCUUGGGUGAUUUUUCAAAUUCACGUCACUGUGCUGCCUGAAUUCUGUUUCUUUGCAAAAUUUUAUCCUUUCAUGAUUUCCAUGCAUAAUUUAUCACCUAAUCUUUCAUAACAACAAACACCUUCAUCCUUAAUCAUUUUAAUAACCAUAGAUCAUCAAAUACUUACACAUCACUCAUUAGCAAAAUCAUCACUACAAACAUACAAAAUAACUAAAUCCCUAUACAUGCCAUAACUUAAACGUGUUUCGAUAUAAAAUACCGAGCAGUUGUAGUUGAUAGUGUGGACGAUCUCCGACUUCUUUAGGAUCCUUGAAGUAGCUUUGCAAUACUAUAAGAGAAAGAGAAAUAAAAGAAGUAAGCAUAAAGCUUAGUAAGUUUACUAGCAAAUAAAUAACAAUAUUUAACUUAAAUAAUUAAACUCAAUGUCUAUAUCUCUAGUUUACUCUUUAGUUAAUCUCAUACUAGUUCUCUUACUUGUUUACUUAGAAUAUUUGUGUGCAUAACUUACUCAAUCCUUGCUGCAUCGUUGAACAUCAAUUGAUAGUAUAAUAAGUUCUUAAGUCUUACAACUUACCUGAGCUUACCAUUUAUGCUUUAAACUGAACUUUCAUGAACAUGAUUCGUUUACAAGCCCGUUGAACUACAUUGGAAUAAUAAGGAUACUCGGGUCUCUUCUGAUAAUAACAUGCCAAAGCCAUGUCCCAGACAUGGUCUUACAUGGGAUGUUCUCGUGAUGGUGCCCAUGCCAUGUCCCAGACAUGGUCUUAUAGGGGACCUCUCAUCUCGGUGCCAACGCCAUGUCCCAGACAUGGUCUUACAUGGGACCUCUCGUCUCGGUGCCCAUGCCAUGUCCCAAACAUGGUCUUACAGGGGACCUCUCAUGAUCUUAAGGAUGCCAAUGCCAUGUCCCAGACAUGGUCUUACAUGGGAUCUCUUUACCCAAAUGUCAUGACAUUCGUAUCUAGUAUCAUCCUUAUGUAUCAACGGGACUUUUAAAUUUUAAUUCUCUAUCAUUUCAUGCUUGGAUCAUCAUCAAAUAAAUUCAUAAAAUAAAUUCAUAAUUACUGGAAAUUAACAGCAUUAAUAAUAAAUAUUGAAAUAUUGCAUUUAUUUACCGUAAACUUACCUCGGUACCAAUUAUAGCCAAAUUCACCAACUUAGUCUUCAACUUUAUUCUUCCCUUUGUCUAACCUCGAGUUUCGUACUUCUUGAUCUAAAAUAGUAAAUUUAACUUAUUUAAUAAUCACAUUCAUCAAAAUAGCCCUCGACUCUAACUUUUUCAAAAUUACAAUUUUGCCCCUAAACUUUUACAUAAUUACAUUUUUGCCCCAAGGCUCGGAAAUUAAACUUCAUCUCUUAUUCUUAUGUUUUAUAACAUUCUGAACAUUUUUCCCUUCUAUGACAACAUCAAAUUCUAAUUUAAUCCCUUAUCAAUAAUAAUUUUAUUUUUGCAUUCUAACUCUAUAUUCUCUCUUAAUUCUUACUAUAAACUCAGUUUAAUUCUUCAAUUUCCCCAUAAAUCCCUAACUUCGGGAUUCUUUCAAUUUAAUUCCUAUAAAUUCAAAACUUAUGUUUUAUUUUACAAAUCAACCUUUUACUAACUUUUAACUUAAAAUUCAAUCAUUUUAACAUCUAAUUCAUCAAUUAAUUCAACAUGAACAACAUCUAAUAACCUACUAACUUCCAAAAUUUCCACUUAAAUCAAGUAGUAUUUUGCUCUAGGAUUCCAAAAAUAUCAAAACCAUAAGAAAAAGGGACUAAAUUGACUUACCAAUUGAAUUUAGAAGUUUUGAAACCCCUGAACCGUCGCUCUUUCUUUUUCUUCUUUCUCCAUUCUCUGUUUCGUUUUGCUCUCUGUUUCUUUCUUUCUCAUUUCUAUUCUUUCUUUUGUUAUAUAUAUAUAUAUAUAAUAUAAUAUAAUAUAAAAUAUUAAUAAUAAUCAUUACUUACAUAUAUAUAAUAUAUAUAUAUAUUAACUAGAAUAUCUCAGAUAUUUCUUUCAUUAUG
RNAcentral lists this long non-coding RNA (3134 nucleotides) under Gossypium barbadense (sea-island cotton). Its description in RNAcentral is "long non-coding RNA (GBAR_LNC002784)". The record is from RNAcentral. Lineage: Eukaryota; Viridiplantae; Streptophyta; Magnoliopsida; Malvales; Malvaceae.